CGCCCACCACUGCCCACCUCUCUGAAGAUGUACAACCUGUGUGCUACAGGAUCAUAAAAACUUUAUAACUGGAGGGGAUGCAGCAGGAAUAGAGGUGAACACUGCCUCUUCCUGGGACAAAUAUGAAUUUUGGUGCCUCUUGAAGGAGCUAUAUGGACCCUACUCACAUAACUGCAUCUCUUCUUGAAGUGCCUGGACCAGGAGGAACUGAACUGAGUGCCAACAUGUUUGUGAGUGACACGCUUGUGACUGCUUCCCAUUGUGGAACAAAAGAUGCAAAAGGUGACCCGUGUUUUGCAGAUGAUCAGUCCAGGGACCGUGUGCUAUGUUUUCCUCCUGUUCGUGUGACUCUGGG
This is a long non-coding RNA of Pipra filicauda (Wire-tailed manakin), 355 nucleotides long. RefSeq lists it as uncharacterized. The record is from RefSeq and is a predicted model, not a curated record. NCBI's taxonomy places the organism in Eukaryota, Metazoa, Chordata, Aves, Passeriformes, Pipridae. The transcript is spliced from 3 exons.